GUGUCAGCAGCCGCGGUAAUACGGAGGGUGCAAGCGUUGUUCGGAAUUAUUGGGCGUAAAGAGCGUGUAGGCGGCCGGAUGUGUCAAAUGUGAAAGCCCUGAGCUCAACUCAGGAAGUGCAUUUGAAACUGUCCGGCUCGAGUAGGGGAGAGGGAAGUGGAAUUCCUGGUGUAGAGGUGAAAUUCGUAGAUAUCAGGAGGAACACCGGUGGCGAAGGCGACUUCCUGGCCCUAUACUGACGCUGAGACGCGAGGGCGUGGGUAGCAAACAGGAUUAGAUACCCUGGUAGUCCACGCCGUAAACGAUGUUCACUAGGUGUUGGGGGUAUUGACCCCCUCAGUGCCGGAGCUAACGCAUUAAGUGAACCGCCUGGGGAGUACGGUCGCAAGACUAAAACUUAAAGGAAUUGACGGGG
Molecule: ribosomal RNA, 415 nt
Filed under: uncultured prokaryote
Description: bacterial SSU rRNA
Rfam family: Bacterial small subunit ribosomal RNA
Source: RNAcentral